AAUGGUUGCUAAUGAGACAUAGUGCAUGCACAGCCUGCCUUAUUCCACUGCUGAUUGCAGUGUUACAGCACGCUGAAGACCAGGUUUCUGGGUUAUUGUUCAAGUCAGGGCAUCUUCACUCUGCUCUCCAAAUGUCUGAGAUAUAGCUACUAUCUUGUCUCAUCACUACA
Molecule: long non-coding RNA, 170 nt
Organism: Oncorhynchus nerka (sockeye salmon)
Lineage: Eukaryota; Metazoa; Chordata; Actinopteri; Salmoniformes; Salmonidae
Exons: 3
Source: RefSeq, a predicted model, not a curated record